Molecule: ribosomal RNA, 253 nt
Filed under: uncultured bacterium
Lineage: Bacteria
Description: partial 16S ribosomal RNA
Rfam family: Bacterial small subunit ribosomal RNA
Source: RNAcentral
UACGUAGGUGACCAGCGUUGUCCGGAUUUACUGGGCGUAAAGAGCGCGCAGGCGGUCUUUCAAGUCGGGUGUGAAAGCCCCCGGCUCAACUGGGGAGGGUCAUUCGAUACUGAUCGACUCGAAGGCAGGAGAGGGAAGUGGAAUUCCCGGUGUAGUGGUGAAAUGCGUAGAUAUCGGGAGGAACACCAGUGGCGAAGGCGACUUCCUGGCCUGUUCUUGACGCUGAGGCGCGAAAGCUAGGGGAGCAAACGGG